Molecule: ribosomal RNA, 341 nt
Filed under: uncultured bacterium
Lineage: Bacteria
Description: bacterial SSU rRNA
Rfam family: Bacterial small subunit ribosomal RNA
Source: RNAcentral
GACGAACGCUGGCGGCGUGCCUAACACAUGCAAGUCGAACGGGGUGAAGCCCUUCGGGACUUUACUUAGUGGCGAACGGGUGAGUAACGCGUGAGGAACCUGCCUUUCAGUGGGGGACAACAGUUGGAAACGACUGCUAAUACCGCAUGACGCUUCUUGGGGGCAUCCCCGGGAAGCCAAAGAUUUAUUGCUGAAAGAUGGCCUCGCGUCUGAUUAGCUGGUUGGUGAGGUAACGGCCCACCAAGGCGACGAUCAGUAGCCGGUCUGAGAGGAUGAACGGCCACAUUGGGACUGAGACACGGCCCAGACUCCUACGGGAGGCAGCAGUGGGGAAUCUUCCG